AGAAGAUUGGGUAAGACAGCAAUUAAACCUCUGGGUUAAUAAUAAAAAACCCCUUAACCCGGAGGAGAGUCAAUAUGCGGAAGUGUGGCUAGAAAGACCGAGAGCUAGACUUUAUCCGCUGAAUGAAAUAAAAACUAAACAAAAGAAAAAGAAGGAAGAGUUAGACGAAACCCUUCUAACCCCCCCUCCUUACAUUCCUCCUCCUGCUCCCGCAGAAGUCCCCAGAGCGCCCACUCCCCCACCAGAGUCGGAACAAGGGUCUCCCCCUCUUCCUAGACGCGUAACUAGAAGUCAAAAAGGGGCAGCUCAGAUGUACCCCCUAAGGGAAAUACCCAUGGGGGGACCUCAACCUGUGAUCGGAUAUAUUUCCGUACCCCUAAACUCGGCUGACCUACGAGAUUUUAAAAGAACCGAAAUGGGAAACUUAAUUGAGGACCCACUGGGAGUGGCAGAAAGAUUAAAUCAAUUUUUGGGACCAAACCUUUAUACUUGGGAUGAGAUGCAAUCUAUCCUUGGUCAAUUAUUUACUACCGAGGAAAGAGAUAUGAUUAGACGAGCAGGAAUGAGACUGUGGGAUGCUCAACAUGCCCAGGGACCCCAAGCAGAUAUUAAAUGGCCACUUCAAAGACCUAAUUGGGAUAAUCAGGAUCCGGUGCAUAGAACUCAUAUGCAGGACCUGAGAACUAUAGUAAUUCAGGGAAUUAGAGAAGCAGUACCCCGUGGCCAGAAUAUCAAUAAAGUUUGGUCCCAAAAAUUGAUUUAAUCUUUCUGCCACUCCCAGUGGGUCCUCAAUUAAGUUUCCCAUUUCGGUUCUUUUAAAAUCUCGUAGGUCAGCCGAGUUUAGGGGUACGGAAAUAUAUCCGAUCACAGGUUGAGGUCCCCCCAUGGGUAUUUCCCUUAGGGGGUACAUCUGAGCUGCCCCUUUUUGACUUCUAGUUACGCGUCUAGGAAGAGGGGGAGACCCUUGUUCCGACUCUGGUGGGGGAGUGGGCGCUCUGGGGACUUCUGCGGGAGCAGGAGGAGGAAUGUAAGGAGGGGGGGUUAGAAGGGUUUCGUCUAACUCUUCCUUCUUUUUCUUUUGUUUAGUUUUUAUUUCAUUCAGCGGAUAAAGUCUAGCUCUCGGUCUUUC
This 1129-nucleotide long non-coding RNA is filed under the name Strigops habroptila (Kakapo). RNAcentral's name for it is "lncRNA (ENSSHBG00005016395.1)". Lineage: Eukaryota; Metazoa; Chordata; Aves; Psittaciformes; Psittacidae. The record is from RNAcentral.